This 69-nucleotide transfer RNA is filed under the name Cercopithecus doggetti (silver monkey). RNAcentral's name for it is "tRNA-Ile". The record is from RNAcentral. RNAcentral also lists the same sequence under 1 other name. Lineage: Eukaryota; Metazoa; Chordata; Mammalia; Primates; Cercopithecidae.
CUAGAAAUAUGUCUGACAAAAGAGUUACUUUGAUAGAGUAAAUGAUAGAGGUCCCAAUCCCCUUGUUUC